GCGGGCGUGGUCUACCGGUAUGACACCUGCCUUCCAAGCAGGUAGAAGGGGUUCGACUCCCCUCGCCCGCA
RNAcentral lists this transfer RNA (71 nucleotides) under Patescibacteria group bacterium. RNAcentral describes it as "tRNA-Gly". It matches the Rfam family "tRNA". Rfam says of the family: Transfer RNA (tRNA) molecules are approximately 80 nucleotides in length. Their secondary structure includes four short double-helical elements and three loops (D, anti-codon, and T loops). The record is from RNAcentral.